UAUAUUAUCAGUGUCGGCAGCGUCAGGGAAGCAGGUUAAAGUCCUGCGCGGCCCCGCCGCUGUACCCGGGAACGAAACCGCAGCAUGCCAUUGCACAAGUGCGAGAAGGCGCGGGAGUAGGAUGUCCGGAAGCCAGAAGACCUUCUGCCGGCAGUUUUAUCUU
This 163-nucleotide non-coding RNA is filed under the name Gemmatimonadaceae bacterium. Lineage: Bacteria; Pseudomonadati; Gemmatimonadota; Gemmatimonadia; Gemmatimonadales; Gemmatimonadaceae. The record is from RNAcentral.